This 642-nucleotide ribosomal RNA is filed under the name uncultured Pseudomonadota bacterium. RNAcentral describes it as "bacterial SSU rRNA". It matches the Rfam family "Bacterial small subunit ribosomal RNA", at positions 64 to 701 of the family's 1533-position model. Lineage: Bacteria; Pseudomonadati; Pseudomonadota. The record is from RNAcentral.
UAACAGGAAACAGCUUGCUGUUUCGCUGACGAGUGGCGGACGGGUGAGUAAUGUCUGGGAAACUGCCUGAUGGAGGGGGAUAACUACUGGAAACGGUAGCUAAUACCGCAUAACGUCGCGAGACCAAAGAGGGGGACCUUCGGGCCUCUUGCCAUCAGAUGUGCCCAGAUGGGAUUAGCUAGUAGGUGGGGUAACGGCUCACCUAGGCGACGAUCCCUAGCUGGUCUGAGAGGAUGACCAGCCACACUGGAACUGAGACACGGUCCAGACUCCUACGGGAGGCAGCAGUGGGGAAUAUUGCACAAUGGGCGCAAGCCUGAUGCAGCCAUGCCGCGUGUAUGAAGAAGGCCUUCGGGUUGUAAAGUACUUUCAGCGGGGAGGAAGGGAGUAAAGUUAAUACCUUUGCUCAUUGACGUUACCCGCAGAAGAAGCACCGGCUAACUCCGUGCCAGCAGCCGCGGUAAUACGGAGGGUGCAAGCGUUAAUCGGAAUUACUGGGCGUAAAGCGCACGCAGGCGGUUUGUUAAGUCAGAUGUGAAAUCCCCGGGCUCAACCUGGGAACUGCAUCUGAUACUGGCAAGCUUGAGUCUCGUAGAGGGGGGUAGAAUUCCAGGUGUAGCGGUGAAAUGCGUAGAGAUCUGG